CUCCGGUGCCUACUGAGCAGGAACACAGUUGGUUUGUGUACACUGGCUCAGUUCAGCAGGAACAGGAG
This 68-nucleotide microRNA precursor is filed under the name Gallus gallus (chicken). RNAcentral describes it as "pre-gga-mir-24*f". It matches the Rfam family "mir-24 microRNA precursor family". From Rfam's summary of the family: This family represents the microRNA (miRNA) mir-24 family. miRNAs are transcribed as ~70nt precursors (modelled here) and subsequently processed by the Dicer enzyme to give a ~22nt product. In this case the mature sequence comes from the 3' arm of the precursor. The extents of the hairpin precursors are not generally known and are estimated based on hairpin prediction. Lineage: Eukaryota; Metazoa; Chordata; Aves; Galliformes; Phasianidae. The record is from RNAcentral.